This 253-nucleotide ribosomal RNA is filed under the name uncultured bacterium. RNAcentral describes it as "partial 16S ribosomal RNA". It matches the Rfam family "Bacterial small subunit ribosomal RNA", at positions 524 to 776 of the family's 1533-position model. The record is from RNAcentral.
GACGUAGGGCGCGAGCGUUGUCCGGAUUUAUUGGGCGUAAAGAGCUCGUAGGCGGCUUGUCGCGUCGUUCGUGAAAACCCGGGGCUCAACUCCGGGCUUGCGGGCGAUACGGGCAGGCUAGAGUUCGGUAGGGGAGACUGGAAUUCCUGGUGUAGCGGUGAAAUGCGCAGAUAUCGGGAGGAACACCGGUGGCGAAGGCGGGUCUCUGGGCCGAUACUGACGCUGAGGAGCGAAAGCUAGGGGAGCAAACGGG